Long non-coding RNA from Manis javanica (Malayan pangolin), 857 nucleotides. RefSeq lists it as uncharacterized. NCBI's taxonomy places the organism in Eukaryota, Metazoa, Chordata, Mammalia, Pholidota, Manidae. The record is from RefSeq and is a predicted model, not a curated record.
UGUAUAUAUUCAGCUAUACUAAACAAAAGGAAUAUUGCACCAGUUUUAUCUCAGCUUCUAAAGCUUCAACCUGUUUGAAGAAAUGACUAGUAUUUUUGUAAUGCCAGGAACUGUGAUGAGAAAAAUCAAAGGAUAAUUAAUCCACAGAGAGAAAAAGACCAGCGCAGAGAGACAGGCCUGACUAUUAAAUGUUCCUCAUCAGCUCUGCAGAGAGGAGAAUACGCUGCAGAAAUGAGGACUCCACAGAGGAGGACACUCAUCAAGGGAAGAAAUGCUCCUAUGCAACAGUGUGUAGGCAAUUGCUUGGUACACAGAAUCUGUGCAAGAGCAAAUUAAGAGCGAUAUUUCACAGUGGGUGAGGGCAGCAUGGCUUCACGGAGAGGGGCACGUUCUCUCUCAAGUACCGCAAAGACACGGCACUUCAUGUCCCAAAUGUCUGGCUUCUCAUCUUGACUCUGGCAGGUCCUAGAGAUCUUCAGAUGAACAAAUAAGAAAGCUACCAGCUUAAUCCAGUGGAACCCAAGUGACUAUCUGAUGAAAAACCUUGUACCAGGGAAGCCAGACCAAUGAAGUAGCUCCAAAAUAGAGCCACAAACACCCCUGUGCCUUCCUGGGUGCCCCCCCCCCGUCCCCCUGAGGCCGAGAGAUCUGUCCCUUCUGUUCCUCUCCAGUACUUUAACAUCCUGGGCAACACAGUAGACCAGACAGAUGAACGAGUGAAUGAAAAAACUGAGUAGAAUUCAAUGCCUCUACUAGCUGCAGAGAACAGACUGUCCCUUUAGCCUGCACACAGGUGUCUGGAAUAUGCCUGCCUCUUUUCUUCCUUAUUUUAAGCAGAAAAUAAAUAUCACCUUCUA